UACAGAGGGGGCAAGCGUUAUUCGGAAUUAUUGGGCGUAAAGAGCGUGUAGGCGGCUUGUUAAGUCUUGCGUGAAAUCUCGGGGCUCAACCCCGAGCGGUCGUGAGAAACUGGCAGGCUAGAGUGCGGGAGAGGAGAGUGGAAUUCCUGGUGUAGCGGUGAAAUGCGCAGAUAUCAGGAAGAACACCCGUGGCGAAGGCGGCUCUCUGGAACGCAACUGACGCUGAGACGCGAAAGCGUGGGGAGCAAACAGG
Molecule: ribosomal RNA, 253 nt
Filed under: uncultured bacterium
Lineage: Bacteria
Description: partial 16S ribosomal RNA
Rfam family: Bacterial small subunit ribosomal RNA
Source: RNAcentral